This is a long non-coding RNA of Oncorhynchus gorbuscha (pink salmon), 1126 nucleotides long. RefSeq lists it as uncharacterized. The record is from RefSeq and is a predicted model, not a curated record. NCBI's taxonomy places the organism in Eukaryota, Metazoa, Chordata, Actinopteri, Salmoniformes, Salmonidae. The transcript has 2 exons.
CGUGGAUGAUCAGUUUGGGUAUGAUCAGUUUGGGUAUGCUGUACGUGGAUGAUCAGUUUGGGUAUGCUGUACGUGGAUGAUCAGUUUGGGUAUGCUGUACGUGGAUGAUCAGUUUGGGUAUGAUCAGUUUGGGUAUGCUGUACGUGGAUGAUCAGUUUGGGUAUGCUGUACGUGGAUGAUCAGUUUGGGUAUGAUCAGUUUGGGUAUGCUGUACGUGGAUGAUCAGUUUGGGUAUGCUGUACGUGGAUGAUCAGUUUGGGUAUGCUGUACGUGGAUGAUCAGUUUGGGUAUGAUCAGUUUGGGUAUGCUGUACGUGGAUGAUCAGUUUGGGUAUGAUCAGUUUGGGUAUGCUGUAGGUGGAUGAUCAGUUUGGGUAUGCUGUAGGUGGAUGAUCAGUUUGGGUAUGAUCAGUUUGGGUAUGCUGUAGGUGGAUGAUCAGUUUGGGUAUGCUGUAGGUGGAUGAUCAGUUUGGGUAUGAUCAGUUUGGGUAUGCUGUAGGUGGAUGGUCAGUUUGGGUAUGAUCAGUUUGGGUAUGCUGUACGUGGAUGAUCGUACUUAAAGCUACUCAGAUAUAUGCUCUUCUCCUCAGCUGAAGCAAAGCAGAGGUCAAGUCUCAAAUGACCUACACAAUUUUCUUCAUUAUGCAUUUAAUACAAGGCUCCAUUGUUUUGUGUACAUUACACCAUUCCUUUCAUAAUGCAUUUUAUACGAGGCUAUGUAGAAUUUUAUGGGUUGCCAGAUUGGAGAAAAAGUUUUUGUUUUGUUUUUGGUGUCGAUGAAGGUGUUUGAUUGGGGAAUGGAGAUACAUUUUUAUGAUGGGGAAUUUAUAAUGUACACAAACACACUCCCUUUGUUUGUACUCAUGUUAUAGCCAACUCUUGACUUUUUCUAUGAAUUAUUUUUUAUAGAAUGUUUGUAUCUAGUUGUCAUGUAUUCAUUAUCUUUAACUGGUUAAAUGUUUGUAGUUUGUAUGUUUCAGUAAUGAUUAACACGGUUAAAUAGUCGUAAAUCACUGCUUCAUUUAGCUUUUGGUAUGUUUGGCGUUUUAUAAAAGUCUGUAUUUCACUGAAGAAAGCAAUGCAAUAAAUGCUCAGUCUGAACCCAUUCGGCUGUGGGUUUCACAGCC